CCGAGUGGAACAUGUGUUGGUUGAGUUAUUGUUUUCCAUAAGGGUUGUUUGAUAAGCCAUGCUAGUAAGUGACUGUGAGUCCUAUGUUUUCUUACGUACUCAAUGGCUAAUGAUUCGAGGAAGUCCUACGUUGGUGUCUAGGCCUUGUUUUAAUGAACAAGAAAGUCCUCGUUGGUGUGUGGACCCAGUUUUUGUGAAUCGAAAAGUCUUGGGUUGGUGCGUAGGCCCUGUUUAGGUGAACAAGUCAUGUAUGCUGGAGUACGGAAUAAGACAUAUGACGAUAGUGAAUGGGAGUGGUGGCAUGUUUGUUUGGGUUGAAGUUGGAUUAGCAAUGUGUUAUUGUGUUCUGAAUUUGAUUUAAGUAAGAACGUUUUGAGCCUAUAGCAUAAUUGAUAAUUGUAUUAUUAUGAUUAUAUCAUUAUCUGUGAUUUAAUUGUUGAUUCUUUUAGCUCACUCUUGCAU
RNAcentral lists this long non-coding RNA (462 nucleotides) under Vigna radiata. RNAcentral describes it as "long non-coding RNA (VRAD_LNC018095)". Lineage: Eukaryota; Viridiplantae; Streptophyta; Magnoliopsida; Fabales; Fabaceae. The record is from RNAcentral.